This 767-nucleotide long non-coding RNA is filed under the name Prunus dulcis (almond). RNAcentral describes it as "sRNA ncRNA". Lineage: Eukaryota; Viridiplantae; Streptophyta; Magnoliopsida; Rosales; Rosaceae. The record is from RNAcentral.
ACAGAAAAGAAGGAGAAGACGACAGAAGAAGAAAAUUGUUGCAGAAGGAAAAUUGCAGGAGCACAAAUACAAGAGGAGACAUUUUCACAGGUAGAUAGAUCCUGUCAAUUAAUUCUUGUUGGGUGGCAACCCUAAAAUCAUUCUCUCGGAUGAUGAAUCCAUAUUGGGUGGCAACCCUUAAAUGAUGAACAACAAAUCCAUGAGAGGAUUUUUGUUUAACAAAACUCUGCCGAGCAAAAGAAAAUCCUUUGAAAUGGAUACAGAAUAUUGGAUAUAAAAUCCAUCAUGGGUGUGUAACCCUCAAUCAAAUACCCUGAAUGGUAUAUCCAUUUUUGGGCAUAAAACUCAUUCAGUGGGUUCUCAAGAGCACAAAUCCAAUUUCGGUACAAAACCCACAAACAAAAUCAUGGAGGGAUUUAAUCUCACAGCAAAUAAAAAAUCAGCUGUGUGCACAAAAAAGAGAGGAACAAAGCUUGAAAAGGAAGGCCACGUUUGUGCAGCGUAUCCUUUGAAUUCUUCAUCUGGCACCAUUAUGGAAUAAUAAAAAAAAUCUGUAUGUGCUUCUACUGUUAUUUGUAUUUGUUCGUGUGCUUGAUCAACCAUACAACCAUAAUGGUCAAUUUGCGGUAUAAGCCCAAAGCCCUCCAUUCCUUUAAACCAUCUUUUCCCUUCCUCUACCAGACCACAAUGGUUCCAAGCAGACAAAGGAAAACAAAAAAAAAAAAGAAAAAAAAAAAGGGAAGCAGCCACCAAGAAGAAGAAACAGA